AUGGACACCACGGUGGCUCCUCAGGGACAUCCCAUGGACACUGGGGUGGCUUUUGGGGACAUCUCUGUCACCCUGGAGGCUCCUCAGGGACAUCCCAGGGACACCACGGUGGCUUUGGGGACAUCUCAUUGUCACCCUGGAGGCUCCUCAGGGACAUCCCAUUGUCACCAUGGCGGCUCCUCAGGGACAUCCCAUUGUCACCUUGGUGGACCCUUGGGGACAUCCCAUUGUCACCAUGAAGGACCCUUGGGGACAUCCCAUGGGCACCACGGUGGCCUCUGGGGACAUCCCAUUGUCACCAUGAAGGACUCUCAGGAACAUCCCAUUGUCACCUUGGUGGAGCCUUGGGGACAUCCCAUUGUCACCAUGGUGGACCCUUGGGGACAUCUCAUGGGCACCACGGUGGCUUUUGUGGACAUCCCAUUGUCACCAUGGUGGACCCUCAGGAACAUCCCAUUGUCACCUUGGUGGACCCCUUGGGGACAUCCCAUUGUCACCGUGGUGGAUCCUUGGGGACAUCCCAUUGUCACCAUGGUGGACCCUCAGGAACAUCCCAUUGUCACCAUGGUGGACCCUCAGGAACAUCCCAUUGUCACCUUGGUGGACCCUUGGGGACAUCCCAUUGUCACCAUGAAGGACCCCUUGGGGACAUCCCAUUGUCAGCAUGGUGGACCCUUGGGGACACCCCAUUGUCACCAUGGUGGACCCUCAGGAACAUCCCAUUGUCACCUUGGUGGACCCUCAGGAACAUCCCAUUGUCACCUUGGUGGACCCUCGGGGACAUCCCAUUGUCACCUUGGUGGACCCUCAGGAACAUCCCAUUGUCACCUUGGUGGACCCUUGGGGACAUCCCAUGGGCACCACGGUGGCUUUUGGGGACAUUGUCACCAUGGCGAACCCUUGGGGACAUCUCAUUGUCCCCAAGAUGGCUCCUCGAGGACACCCCAUUGUCACCACGAUGAACCCUCAAAAACUCCUCAUUGUCACCGUGAAGAACCUUCAGCACCACCCCAUUGUCAUCAUGGUGGCUUUUGGUGCCACCACCCCAUUGUCCCCAAGACAAUCCCUCAAGAACAUCUCGUCAUCUCCAUGAAGAACCCUUGGGGACAUCCCAUGGACACCUUGGUGACUCCUCAGGAACAUCCCAUCGUCACCACGAUGGACUCCUGGGGACAUCUCAGUGUCACCAUGGUGGCACCUCAGAAACCUCUCAUUGUCUCCAUGAAGGACCCUUGGGGGACAUCUGAUUGUCACCAUGCUGGACCCUCAGGAACAUUCCAUUGUCCCCAAGAUGCCUUCUCAAGGACACACCAUGGUGGACCCUCAGGAACAUCCCAUUGUCACCUUGGUGGAGCCUUGGGGACAUCCCAUGGACACCACGGUGGCUCUUGGGGACAUCUCGUUGUCACUGUAAUGGACCCUCAGAAACCUCUCAUUGUCACCAUGGUGGACCCUUAG
Molecule: long non-coding RNA, 1458 nt
Filed under: Cyanistes caeruleus (blue tit)
Lineage: Eukaryota; Metazoa; Chordata; Aves; Passeriformes; Paridae
Description: lncRNA (ENSCCEG00000018001.1)
Source: RNAcentral